This 253-nucleotide ribosomal RNA is filed under the name uncultured bacterium. RNAcentral's name for it is "partial 16S ribosomal RNA". It matches the Rfam family "Bacterial small subunit ribosomal RNA", at positions 524 to 776 of the family's 1533-position model. The record is from RNAcentral.
UACGUAGGGGGCAAGCGUUGUCCGGAUUUAUUGGGCGUAAAGCGCUCGCAGGUGGUUCGAUGCUUCGUGCGUGAAAGACCCCGGCUCAACUGGGGAGGGUCGUGCGAUACGGUCGAACUGGAGGCCAGUAGGGGGAUGCGGAAUUCCGGGUGUAGUGGUGGAAUGCGUAGAGAUCCGGAGGAACACCAGCGGCGAAGGCGGCAUCCUGGACUGGUCCUGACACUCAUGAGCGAAAGCGUGGGGAGCGAUCCGG